CCACAUGACCCCAUAUAUCCUCAUGUGCCCCCAUAUGCCCCCAUAUAUCCCCAUAUGACCCCAUGUGUCCCCAUAUAUCCCAUAUAUUCCCCUAUAUCCCCAUAUGACCCCAUAUAUCCCAUAUAUCCCCAUAUGACCCCAUAUAUCCCAUAUAUCCCCAUAUGACCCCAUAUGUCCCCAUAUAUCCCAUAUAUCCCCAUAUUUCCCCAUAUGACCCCAUAUAUCCCAUAUAUCCCCAUAUGACCCCAUAUGACCCCAUAUAUCCCAUAUAUCCCCAUAUUUCCCCAUAUGACCCCAUAUACCCCAUAUAUCCCAUAUAUCCCCAUAUGACCCCAUAUUUCCCAUAUAUCCCAUAUACCCCAUACGCCCCCACUGACCCCAUCCAUCCCAUAUAUCCCCCCAUAUCCCCAUCCAUCCCCAUGACCCCAUACGGACCCACACGUCCCCAGGUGGCGCAGCCUAUGGGGCCGCCUGUGGGGCCGCCUGUGGGGUCUCCUAUGGGGUCUCCUAUGGGGUCUCCUAUGGGGCCGCCUGUGGGGCAGCGCCUGGCGGCGGCGGCCGAACGCAACGCGGCGCGGCUGCGGCGGCUGCGCGGGGAGCUGGAAGCGAUGGAGGCGGAGCUGCGGGAGCGGCGGCACCGCGGGGGGGGGCGGCGGGAACGGUGA
Molecule: long non-coding RNA, 665 nt
Filed under: Phasianus colchicus (ring-necked pheasant)
Lineage: Eukaryota; Metazoa; Chordata; Aves; Galliformes; Phasianidae
Description: lncRNA (ENSPCLG00000019711.1)
Source: RNAcentral